UACGGAGGAUCCAAGCGUUAUCCGGAAUCAUUGGGUUUAAAGGGUCCGUAGGCGGUUUAGUAAGUCAGUGGUGAAAGUCCAUCGCUCAACGGUGGAACGGCCAUUGAUACUGCUAGACUUGAAUUAUUAGGAAGUAACUAGAAUAUGUAGUGUAGCGGUGAAAUGCUUAGAGAUUACAUGGAAUACCAAUUGCGAAGGCAGGUUACUACUAAUGGAUUGACGCUGAUGGACGAAAGCGUGGGUAGCGAACAGG
Molecule: ribosomal RNA, 253 nt
Filed under: uncultured bacterium
Lineage: Bacteria
Description: partial 16S ribosomal RNA
Rfam family: Bacterial small subunit ribosomal RNA
Source: RNAcentral